RNAcentral lists this transfer RNA (70 nucleotides) under Camelus bactrianus (Bactrian camel). It matches the Rfam family "tRNA". From Rfam's summary of the family: Transfer RNA (tRNA) molecules are approximately 80 nucleotides in length. Their secondary structure includes four short double-helical elements and three loops (D, anti-codon, and T loops). Further hydrogen bonds mediate the characteristic L-shaped molecular structure. tRNAs have two regions of fundamental functional importance: the anti-codon, which is responsible for specific mRNA codon recognition, and the 3' end, to which the tRNAs corresponding amino acid is attached (by aminoacyl-tRNA synthetases). tRNAs cope with the degeneracy of the genetic code in two manners: having more than one tRNA (with a specific anti-codon) for a particular amino acid; and 'wobble' base-pairing, i.e. permitting non-standard base-pairing at the 3rd anti-codon position. RNAcentral also lists the same sequence under 1 other name. The record is from Rfam by way of RNAcentral. Lineage: Eukaryota; Metazoa; Chordata; Mammalia; Artiodactyla; Camelidae.
GAGGGUACAGCUCAGUGGUAGAGCACUUGCUCGGUAUGCAUGAGGUCGGGUUCAAUCCCCAGUGCCACCG